UCUCUCCAGCAGAAGUUUUUUCCUCAUGUUCUCUUUUGAGCAACUAUUAGAAGAAAACAUUUGGCAAUUUAUCUCAUGUAUAUUCAAUGUCUUCUCUAUCUGGGAUUCGAGAAGGUUGUGAAACGUGACACUAUGUCUGUCAGCAGAUUUACAGACGCUUAUUUCUAAUGCUUCAGAGGUUGUUCGGUCCAAAGGUGGAAAGGAGGGAAAUUCAAAUGAACGAACAUGGAAAACAUUGAAAAGGACAAAGAACGUGUUUCUUUCCUGAAUGGUGAAGAAGCUGAACAUUAACAAUGUAUUCUGCCUUUUUUGAGCAGAAGAACAAGGUCAUUUUAGGCAUCUAGAAAUUGCAUCCACAAAUAAA
Molecule: non-coding RNA, 364 nt
Organism: Poecilia reticulata (guppy)
Lineage: Eukaryota; Metazoa; Chordata; Actinopteri; Cyprinodontiformes; Poeciliidae
Source: RefSeq, a predicted model, not a curated record